AGUGAACGCUGGCGGUAGGCCUAACACAUGCAAGUCGAACGGCAGCACGGUAAGAGCUUGCUCUUACGGGUGGCGAGUGGCGGACGGGUGAGGAAUACAUCGGAAUCUACUUUUUCGUGGGGGAUAACGUAGGGAAACUUACGCUAAUACCGCAUACGACCUACGGGUGAAAGCAGGGGAUCUUCGGACCUUGCGCGAUUGAAUGAGCCGAUGUCGGAUUAGCUGGUUGGCGGGGUAAAGGCCCACCAAGGCGGCGAUCCGUAGCUGGGCUGAGAGGAGGAUCAGCCACACGGGAACUGAGACACGGUCCAGACGCCGACGGGAGGGAGCAGUGGGGAAUAUGGGACAAUGGGCGCAAGCCUGAUCCAGCCAUACCGCGUGGGUGAAGAAGGCGUUCGGGUUGUAAAGCCGGUUUGUGGGGAAAGAAAAGCAGCAGGUUAAGACCGCGCGGUUCUGACGGUACCCAAAGAAUAAGCACCGGCUAACUUCGUG
This 492-nucleotide ribosomal RNA is filed under the name uncultured bacterium. RNAcentral describes it as "partial 16S ribosomal RNA". It matches the Rfam family "Bacterial small subunit ribosomal RNA", at positions 30 to 507 of the family's 1533-position model. The record is from RNAcentral.